RNAcentral lists this ribosomal RNA (433 nucleotides) under uncultured bacterium. RNAcentral's name for it is "bacterial SSU rRNA". It matches the Rfam family "Bacterial small subunit ribosomal RNA", at positions 355 to 786 of the family's 1533-position model. The record is from RNAcentral.
UGGGGAAUCUUGCGCAAUGGCCGAAAGGCUGACGCAGCGACGCCGCGUGGGGGAGGAAGGCCUUCGGGUUGUAAACCCCUGUUGCCCGGGACGAAUGCGCGCUUCAGAGCGUGUUGACGGUACCGGGUGAGGAAGCACCGGCUAACUCCGUGCCAGCAGCCGCGGUAAUACGGAGGGUGCGAGCGUUGUCCGGAAUCACUGGGCGUAAAGGGCGCGUAGGCGGCUCAUGAAGGCUGUGGUGAAAGUCCGGGGCUCAACCUCGGAUCGGCCGUGGCGACUCGUGGGCUGGAGCACUGUAGAGGCGGGUGGAAUUCCGGGUGUAGCGGUGGAAUGCGUAGAGAUCCGGAAGAACACCAGUGGCGAAGGCGGCCCGCUGGGCAGUGGCUGACGCUGAAGCGCGACAGCGUGGGGGGAGCAAACAGGAUUAGAUACC